Molecule: ribosomal RNA, 484 nt
Filed under: uncultured bacterium
Lineage: Bacteria
Description: partial 16S ribosomal RNA
Rfam family: Bacterial small subunit ribosomal RNA
Source: RNAcentral
AUUGAACGCUGGCGGCAUGCUUUACACAUGCAAGUCGAACGGCAGCGCGGGCUUCGGCCUGGCGGCGAGUGGCGAACGGGUGAGUAAUACAUCGGAACGUGCCCAGUAGUGGGGGAUAGCUCGGCGAAAGCCGGAUUAAUACCGCAUGCGACCUGAUGGUGAAAGCGGGGGGUCUUCGGACCUCGCGCUCUUGGAGCGGCCGAUGGCAGAUUAGCUAGUUGGUGGGGUAAAGGCCUACCAAGGCGACGAUCUGUAGCUGGUCUGAGAGGACGACCAGCCACACUGGGACUGAGACACGGCCCAGACUCCUACGGGAGGCAGCAGUGGGGAAUUUUGGACAAUGGGCGAAAGCCUGAUCCAGCAAUGCCGCGUGUGUGAUGAAGGCCUUCGGGUUGGAAAGCACUUUUGGCGGGAACGAAAAGGACUGUGCCAAUACCACGGUUCGAUGACGGUACCCGCAGAAUAAGCACCGGCUAACUACGUG